This 2597-nucleotide long non-coding RNA is filed under the name Mus musculus (house mouse). Its description in RNAcentral is "long non-coding RNA chr2:153169785-153172382". Lineage: Eukaryota; Metazoa; Chordata; Mammalia; Rodentia; Muridae. The record is from RNAcentral.
UAUAUAUAUAUAUAUUUAUACACACACACAUGUAUAUAUAUGAAAAUAUAAAAAUAUGAAGAAAUAUAUAAUCAAUGUGUACAAUUUUGUUAAUUCUUUUAAAAGCUGGGUCAGAUAGCUGGAGAAGUUACUUGCCUUCCAACCAGUCUGGGUUCGAUCUCUGGAACCCAAGCGAAGAAGAAAACAAAAUCUAGAACGGAAUCUACAGAGUUAUUCUCUGACCUCCACAAACACACAUUAACAAUUUAAAAAACAAAACCAAAAAAAAAAAAUCCCCAGAAAGCUAAAAUAACGUACUUGGCUGCCCCUAAUCUAUGUAUCAGGAUAAAUUGGUUUUGAUUUAGAAAACCUACCUCUAUGUAUUAUUUUAUACCUAUAAAAGUCCUUCUUUGGAAACCUGGUUGUAGGUUGGGUGUGGUGGCACAUGCCCCUUAAUCGCAGCACUGGGGUUGGGGGGUGUACAAAGGUGGGUGGAUCUCUAUGAGUUUAAGACCAGCCUGGUCUACAUAGGGAGCUCCAGGCAAGCCAAUACUACAUGGUAAAGCCCUGUCUCAAAACAAACAAAAAUAAAAGCCCAGCUCGUUAUAAUAAUUUCAGCAUGGGCCAGUGUAGAAGAUAGCAUGCAGCCACAGUCCCUUUUCACCAUCCAUUCUCACCAGCUUCACUGGUUACCAUCACGUUGCCACACCCAUCCACUGCUACCCGAACCAACUACUUCCUUUUUCUUCAGUCAUUUAAUCUAUAUUUUCCUAUUACAAAUCAUUGUGAAUGCACAGUGCAGUGACCUUUAGCUAUAUAUAAACUUGUGCCCUUGUCACCACAGUGACACAGUGUUAUAGAACAGUUCUGUUACCCCCAAGUUCCCUCACAUUGGUCAAGAGAGUGAUGAAAUCGGCCUUUGUUCCCAUGGCCAAACCAUCAGUAGUUUCCGUCUCUGUAGAUGUCCUUUGCUGGGUGUUCUGUGGAAAGGGAGUUGGGUGUUAAUUAGGCUUUGUGCAUCUGUGUGUAGUGUCCCUGGGCCACUCCUUCCUGUGACAGACAUUGAUAGUUCUCUUCUCAUGCUGACAGUGUCCCAUGUUAUGGAAAAAAAACUGCAUCUCUUUUUUCCACUUUCACUAACGAUUGAGUUUUCAGUUUUGAACUACGGUAGUCCUCCCCGACCUGAGGGUGUGUUCCCAAGCCCCCUGAGGAGAUGCUUGGAAUCCUGUGAGCACAGAGCCGGUGUUUUAGCGCCACACCCAGACUUCUGUUUACUAUUUUGAGACAAGAGUCUCACGAAGUUGUACAGGUUGGCUUUGAAUUCACUCUAGCCUGUCAGUCCUUGAGCUUGGUGAUCUCCUCCCUCAGCUUUUUUUUUUUUUUUUGGUUUUUCGAGACAGGGUUAGGGUUUCUCUGUAUAGCCCUGGCUGUCCUGGAACUCACUCUGUAGACCAGACUGGCCUCGAACUCAGAAAUCCACCUGCCUCUGCCUCCCGAGUGCUGGGAUUAAAGGCGUGUGCCACCACGCCCAGCUCUACCUCAACUUUUUAGGUAACUAAAUUAUAGGCCUGCACCAUCAAGUCCAACUCCAUACUUUUUUCUUUGCUUAUAUAUCUUACAGUAGAGUUGAAUUUGUAAAUUAGACACCGUAAGAUUGACAGAGCUGGUGGUCUGGAUUGGGUAGCACCUUGUUCACCUAGCUUACAUAAAGCCUUGGGUUCAAUCCUCAGUACCACAUAAACCAGGCGUGGUGGCGCACUCAAGAGGUAGAGGCAGAAAGAUCAGAAAUUCAAGGUCAUCCUGCGGUACAUGAGUCCCUGGGGUGGGAUAAGCAACAAUGUUUAAUAAUGUAGAACAUGUAUGAUAAUAGUAUAAAAGUUAAAGGGUUAUAUAUCAUUUAUCUCUGGGAUUUUCUGUUUAGAAUUUUCAGACCUUGAUUGUAGGUACCUCAAACUCUGGAAAAUGAAACCAGGGAUAAGGAGACAGUUACUGUGAUUAAACAGUCCCAUACAAGUGCGCAUCUUCCUGUCGAGUUGGUGCCUAGAGUUGGAAAUACUGGCUAGUAAGUUUAUGUUUAACUUUUUAAGUUACUGCCGAACUUCCUGUAAGUGGCCAAGUCAGUUCACAUUCCCAUCAGGGAGGAUUUCAGUUUCUCCAUAUCCUGGUUCACACUUGCCUGAUUUUUGUUGUUUGUUUUGUUGUUUGGUCAGUCAUUCCAGUGAGUGUGGUGGUACCUCACUGUAGCUUUGGCUUGCAUUUCCCUAGUGACAGAUAGUAAGCACCUGCUGAUGUGCCAUUCACAGAUCUGUAUGCAUCAUCCCUGGAGAAAUGAGGUGCUGAUCUUUUAUGCCUUCUUUCCACCUCCCGUGCUGGGGCUGAACCUCAGUGCUCUAUAACUGAGCCACACCCCAGGCCUUGCCCACUUGCUAACAGGGAUGUUUGCUGUCUCAUUAACUUGUAAGAGUUCUUUAUGGCCGGGCAGUGGUGGCGCACGCCUUUAAUCCCAGCACUUGGGAGGCAGAGGCAGGCGGAUUUCUGAGUUUGAGACCAUCCUGGUCCACAGAGUGAGUUCCAGGACAGCCAGGGCUACACAGAAAAACCCUAUAUAGAAAAAGACC